GACGAACGCUGGCGGCGUGCCUAACACAUGCAAGUCGAGCGAGAAUCUUUUAUUUGAUUCCUUCGGGAUGAUUAUUUAAGAGGAAAGCGGCGGACGGGUGAGUAACGCGUGAGUAACCUGCCCUUAACUGCGGGAUAACACAUCGAAAGGUGUGCUAAUACCGCAUAAUCCGGAAGUAUCGCAUGAUACAUUCGGCAAAGAUUUAUGGUUAAGGAUGGACUCGCGUCUGAUUAGAUAGUUGGUGAGGUAACGGCUCACCAAGUCGACGAUCAGUAGCCGGACUGAGAGGUUGACCGGCCACAUUGGGACUGAGAUACGGCCCAGACUCCUACGGGAGGCAGCAGUGGGGAAUAUUGGGCAAUGGACGCAAGUCUGACCCAGCAACGCCGCGUGAAGGAGAAGGCUUUCGGGUUGUAAACUUCUUUUAAGGGGGAAGAGCAGAAGACGGUACCCCUUGAAUAAGCCACGGCUAACUACGUG
RNAcentral lists this ribosomal RNA (480 nucleotides) under uncultured bacterium. RNAcentral's name for it is "bacterial SSU rRNA". It matches the Rfam family "Bacterial small subunit ribosomal RNA", at positions 28 to 507 of the family's 1533-position model. The record is from RNAcentral.